Molecule: ribosomal RNA, 407 nt
Filed under: uncultured bacterium
Lineage: Bacteria
Description: partial 16S ribosomal RNA
Rfam family: Bacterial small subunit ribosomal RNA
Source: RNAcentral
GACGAACGCUGGCGGCGUGCCUAAUACAUGCAAGUAGAACGCAGUUGCGAACGGGUGAGUAACGCGUAGGUAACUGCCUGGUAGCGGGGGAUAACUAUUGGAAACGAUCGCUAAUACCGCAUACUACCAGAUGGACCUGCUUUGUAUUAGCUAGUUGGUGCGGUAACGGCAGACCAAGGCAACGAUACAUAGCCGACCUGAUAGGGUGAUCGGCCAAACUGGGAAUGCGACACGGCCCAGAAUCCUACGGGAGGCAGCAGUAGGGAAUCUUCGGCAAUGGGGGGAAACCUGACCGAGCAACGCCGCGUGAGUGGAGAAGGUUUUCGGAUCGUAAAGCGCUGUUGUUAAGGAAGCGGUACUUAACCAGAAAGGGACGGCUAACUACGUGCCAGCCGCCGCGGUAAUUC